This 73-nucleotide transfer RNA is filed under the name Enteromius pobeguini. RNAcentral's name for it is "tRNA-Leu". Lineage: Eukaryota; Metazoa; Chordata; Actinopteri; Cypriniformes; Cyprinidae. The record is from RNAcentral.
GGUGGCAGAGCAUGGCGAAUUGCGAAAGGCCUAAGCCCUUUAUUCCACACCGGAGGUUCAAAUCCUCCCCCCA